ACGUACACUCCUGCGGGAGGCAGCAGUGGGGAAUAUUGGACAAUGGGCGCAAGCCUGAUCCAGCCAUGCCGCGUGAGUGAUGAAGGCCCUAGGGUUGUAAAGCUCUUUCACCGGGGAAGAUAAUGACGGUAACCGGAGAAGCAGCCCCGGCUAACUUCGUGCCAGCAGCCGCGGUAAUACGAAGGGGGGUAGCGUUGUUCGGAUUUACUGGGCGUAAAGCGCACGUAGGCGGACUAUUAAGUCAGGGGUGAAAUCCCGGGGCUCAACCCCGGAACUGCCUUUGAUACUGGUAGUCUUGAGUUCGAUAGAGGUGAGUGGAAUUCCGAGUGUAGAGGUGAAAUUCGUAGAUAUUCGGAGGAACACCAGUGGCGAAGGCGGCUCACUGGCUCGAUACUGACGCUGAGGUGCGAAAGCGUGGGGAGCAAACAGGAUUAGAAACCCGGGUAGUCCCAUGAU
RNAcentral lists this ribosomal RNA (456 nucleotides) under uncultured organism. Its description in RNAcentral is "partial 16S ribosomal RNA". It matches the Rfam family "Bacterial small subunit ribosomal RNA", at positions 329 to 801 of the family's 1533-position model. The record is from RNAcentral.